Molecule: long non-coding RNA, 1198 nt
Organism: Ornithodoros turicata
Lineage: Eukaryota; Metazoa; Arthropoda; Arachnida; Ixodida; Argasidae
Exons: 2
Source: RefSeq, a predicted model, not a curated record
UUUAGGAAUGGGGCUCCCCUUAGCACGCCUGCAUGGAGCAGCGAGGUGCGCAUGCCGAUAUCCACGCACAGGGCUAUGUCAUAUAUGCGUGUAACCGUUGCGUAAAUACACCAUAUCGCGACACGGUCAUCAUGAAAGAUAAGCGCACGUCAACAGCCGUUCCUGUCCAUUUCCUCUUGGUGCCUUACGACGCGUAGAGCCGGUCAUGAUGCUUUCUUUCUGCAACACCGGUUCCGAUAUUAUCGUAUAACCACCGCCUACAGCGUUGGCGCUUCGCCGACAUGUCGCCGUCGUGCGUCCGGUCCGAGCAGAGAGAGGUCUGCAACGUUUACCUGUUUUACCAGCAAGGGAAUACAGGUUGCUCGGCGUGUUCGUUGAAUAUUCGGCCGAUUUGGAUCGUUUACUUCGUGUACGGUGAUCGCAAUGCUAUCCGCUGUUGCGGUCGCGAAGAUCCUUCGACAGGGACACUCCUUGGGAGUGGGUGUGAACUGAGACGGCGAAGCCUACUUCGGAAGGAAUUCAUGAUGCGCUGCCUGCGCAAAGACAUGAGACUUCCAAAGGAGUACGUGUGGUGUGCUGUGUCGGCGAUGAACAGGCACGAAGACCCUUACGAAGACGAGACAAACGACAGUCUGCGGUGGGCCAAACGGUUGCUGUUACGACUCAGCAUCUUUGUGACAGAGGCUGAUUUUGUGGACUCUUACUUCAGAGGAAUAGUUGGACUCGACCCGUGUGAUGUCCCGCAUGGAAAGACGAGGAGUGCAAUACGUGUAUUGCGAUCUGCGAUUGCACCUCGCAUUUGCCUGGGUGUGCGGUGCAACAGGACAGUGUGACAUGGUGAUCGGUCUCGGUGCGUGUUGUGCACAUGUGUUCAAGAACGGGGAAGAAUUGCUGCAACUAUAAGCAGAUGACGACAAGCGCCACAAACUCCUUGCGUGCAAUACGGGAGCGACACCAUAAAGCCAAAAACGGGUGCAAGCCAACAUGAUCACCGGCGUCAAAUGCACCAAUGGGGCUUCAAGUGUAGUACGAAGUACUAUACUGUGGACGUACUUGGAGUGGAGUGGAGCAAAGUACGAGGUAUUAGGCAAUGUAGUGUGAAGUGCCUUGCGAAUUUAACUUGUAGAGCUGUACGUUUCACCGUUUGAUUGUGACAAACAAUUUGAAAAUAAAUUGUGUUAUUUACAAUGGUGGAAUA